This 198-nucleotide non-coding RNA is filed under the name Clostridiaceae bacterium BL-3. RNAcentral's name for it is "T-box". It matches the Rfam family "T-box leader". Rfam says of the family: Uncharged tRNA acts as the effector for transcription antitermination of genes in the T-box leader family. T-boxes are found upstream of many aminoacyl-tRNA synthetase genes and some amino acid biosynthetic genes usually in Gram-positive bacteria. Lineage: Bacteria; Bacillati; Bacillota; Clostridia; Eubacteriales; Clostridiaceae. The record is from RNAcentral.
UUAACAGCGAGGAAAGGGACAUGUAAAUGCGAAAAAUAUUUUAAAGAGAGUGAGGAAUGGUGAAAACUCAUAAAUGCUUCGCAUUGAAGAUCACCCUUAAGCUGCAGGCUGAAACAAGAGUAAGCUGUGCCGGUGCAAGCCGUUAUGUAAUUGAGUAAAAAAUUGGGUGGUACCGCGAACAGACUUCUCGCCCCAGGC